GGUUGUACUUGCUAAGUAAAAAAAAACGUGUUAUACUGGUCUUAAGUUUUUGUGAGGUAACAGAUAAGAAUUGUUUCAUAACAUUCCAAUUCGUACCGUUAGCAAGAAUUAACAAAUGUGCAAAACGCACGAGGAGGAUAUUUUAUUAUGGAACAAGGUACAGUAAAAUGGUUUAACGCAGAAAAAGGUUUUGGUUUUAUCGAACGUGAAGACGGAGACGACGUAUUCGUACACUUCUCAGCUAUCCAAGGAGAAGGAUUCAAAUCUCUAGAAGAAGGACAAGCAGUAACUUUCGACGUUGAAGAAGGAAACCGUGGACCUCAAGCAGCAAACGUAAACAAAGCUUAAUUAAAUUUAAACUUUGCAAAAGACUUGGCAUUUAUUGCCAGGUUUUUUUUU
The sequence is a small RNA, 399 nucleotides long. It matches the Rfam family "cspA thermoregulator".